CCUACGGGAGGCAGCAGUGGGGGAUAUUGCACAAUGGAGGAAACUCUGAUGCAGCGACGCCGCGUGAGGGAAGACGGUCUUCGGAUUGUAAACCUCUGUCAUCGGGGAAGAACAUGACGGUACCUGAAGAAGAAGCCCUGGCUAACUACGUAACAGCAGCCGCGGUAAUACGUAGGGGGCAAGCGUUCUCCGGAUUUACUGGGUGUAAAGGGGGCGCAGACGGCGGUGCAAGCCAGGAGUGAAAGCCCGGGGCCAAACCCCGGGACUGCGCUUGGAACUGGGUGGCUGGAGUGCGGGAGGGGAAGGCGGAAUUCCUGGUGUAGGGGUGAAAUGCGUAGAUAUCAGGAGGAACACCGGUGGCGAAGGCGACCAGCUGGACUGCAACUGACGUUGAGGACCGAAAGCGUGGGGAGCAAACAGGAUUAGAUACCCGAGUAGUC
RNAcentral lists this ribosomal RNA (440 nucleotides) under uncultured bacterium. Its description in RNAcentral is "partial 16S ribosomal RNA". It matches the Rfam family "Bacterial small subunit ribosomal RNA", at positions 338 to 795 of the family's 1533-position model. The record is from RNAcentral.